ACGGGAGGCAGCAGUGAGGAAUAUUGGUCAAUGGGCGGAAGCCUGAACCAGCCAUGCCGCGUGAAGGAAUGAGGCCCUAUGGGUUGUAAACUUCUUUUGACGGGGAGCAAUAAGGCGUACGCGUACGCCGAUGAGAGUACCCGUGGAAUAAGCAUCGGCUAACUCCGUGCCAGCAGCCGCGGUAAUACGGAGGAUGCAAGCGUUAUCCGGAUUUAUUGGGUUUAAAGGGUGCGUAGGCUGUGCGGUAAGUCAGAGGUGAAAGCCCCCCGCUUAACGGGGGAACUGCCUUUGAUACUGUCGCGCUGGAAUACUGUUGCCGUGGGAGGAAUGAGUAGUGUAGCGGUGAAAUGCAUAGAUAUUACUCAGAACACCGAUUGCGAAGGCAUCUCACGAAGCAGUCAUUGACGCUGAGGCACGAAAGCGUGGGGAUCAAACAGGAUUAGAUACCCUGGUA
This 454-nucleotide ribosomal RNA is filed under the name uncultured bacterium. RNAcentral's name for it is "partial 16S ribosomal RNA". It matches the Rfam family "Bacterial small subunit ribosomal RNA", at positions 341 to 792 of the family's 1533-position model. The record is from RNAcentral.